GCACCGAUAGCUCAAUUGGUAGAGCAGCUGACUCUUAAUCAGUAGGUUCCUGGUUCAAGUCCAGGUCGGUGCA
This 73-nucleotide transfer RNA is filed under the name Gemmatimonadota bacterium. RNAcentral describes it as "Gemmatimonadetes bacterium (freshwater metagenome) tRNA-Lys". It matches the Rfam family "tRNA". Rfam says of the family: Transfer RNA (tRNA) molecules are approximately 80 nucleotides in length. The record is from RNAcentral. Lineage: Bacteria; Pseudomonadati; Gemmatimonadota.